UGGGGAAUAUUGGACAAUGGGCGCAAGCCUGAUCCAGCCAUGCCGCGUGAGUGAUGAAGGCCUUAGGGUUGUAAAGCUCUUUUGUCCGGGAAGAUAAUGACCGUACCGGAAGAAUAAGCUCCGGCUAACUUCGUGCCAGCAGCCGCGGUAAUACGAAGGGAGCUAGCGUUGUUCGGAAUUACUGGGCGUAAAGCGCAUGCAGGCGGAUCGUUAAGUCGAGGGUGAAAUCCCAGGGCUCAACCCUGGAACUGCCUUCGAUACUGGCGACCUUGAGUCUGGAAGAGGUUGGUAGAAUUCCCAGUGUAGAGGUGAAAUUCGUAGAUAUUGGGAAGAAUACCAGUGGCGAAGGCGGCCAACUGGUCCAGAUCUGACGCUGAGGUGCGAAAGCGUGGGGAGCAAACA
Molecule: ribosomal RNA, 402 nt
Filed under: uncultured bacterium
Lineage: Bacteria
Description: bacterial SSU rRNA
Rfam family: Bacterial small subunit ribosomal RNA
Source: RNAcentral